Molecule: non-coding RNA, 72 nt
Organism: Oleiphilus sp. HI0009
Lineage: Bacteria; Pseudomonadati; Pseudomonadota; Gammaproteobacteria; Oceanospirillales; Oleiphilaceae
Source: Rfam
GUAUCGAUAGCUCAGUCGGUAGAGCAACGCAUUGAAAAUGCGUGGGCGCAUGUUCAAUUCAUGCUCGAUACA